UACGUCUGGUUCAGGGUUGUUUAUAAAUACUACAGUGUGGCUUGUGACGCUGUUUGUCGAACGAUGCUUACAUUUAGUGUGAUCCUCGUUCUAGAUGAGAAAUAUAUUGCAACAUGUAUCUUGGUGCAAUCCAAGAAGCACGGAUGUCGUGACCUCGUUGUCACUGUCAAAGCGUUCAGCGACUAAGAAUGCUUUGGCGGGGCCUGUAUGACAACUGCGGUUUCAUGUCAUUUGCAAUGCAACCUGAGCUCAGUCGUGAUUACCCGCUGAACUUAAGCAUAUCACUUAGCGGAGGAAAAGAAACUAAA
Molecule: ribosomal RNA, 308 nt
Filed under: Oesophagostomum stephanostomum
Lineage: Eukaryota; Metazoa; Nematoda; Chromadorea; Rhabditida; Strongylidae
Description: eukaryotic LSU rRNA
Rfam family: Eukaryotic large subunit ribosomal RNA (bases 240-308)
Source: RNAcentral